Molecule: ribosomal RNA, 425 nt
Filed under: uncultured bacterium
Lineage: Bacteria
Description: partial 16S ribosomal RNA
Rfam family: Bacterial small subunit ribosomal RNA
Source: RNAcentral
GUGGGGAAUCUUGCGCAAUGGGCGAAAGCCUGACGCAGCCAUGCCGCGUGAAUGAUGAAGGUCUUAGGAUUGUAAAAUUCUUUCACCGGGGACGAUAAUGACGGUACCCGGAGAAGAAGCUCCGGCUAACUUCGUGCCAGCAGCCGCGGUAAUACGAAGGGGGCUAGCGUUGCUCGGAAUUACUGGGCGUAAAGGGCGCGUAGGCGGACAGCUUAGUCAGAGGUGAAAGCCCAGGGCUCAACCUUGGAAUUGCCUUUGAUACUGGCUGUCUUGAGUUUGGGAGAGGUGAGUGGAACUCCGAGUGUAGAGGAGAAAUUCGUAGAUAUUCGGAAGAACACCAGUGGCGAAGGCGACUCACUGGCCCAAUACUGACGCUGAGGCGCGAAAGCGUGGGGAGCAAACGGGAUUAGAAACCCGUGUAGUCC